Molecule: ribosomal RNA, 252 nt
Filed under: uncultured bacterium
Lineage: Bacteria
Description: partial 16S ribosomal RNA
Rfam family: Bacterial small subunit ribosomal RNA
Source: RNAcentral
CGGAGGAUCCAAGCGUUAUCCGGAUUUAUUGGGUUUAAAGGGUGCGUAGGCGGCUUAUUAAGUCAGGGGUGAAAGACGGUGGCUCAACCAUCGCAGUGCCUUUGAUACUGAUGAGCUUGAAUGAACUAGAGGUAGGCGGAAUGUGACAAGUAGCGGUGAAAUGCAUAGAUAUGUCACAGAACACCGAUUGCGAAGGCAGCUUACUAUGGUUUAUUGACGCUGAGGCACGAAAGCGUGGGAUCAAACAGGAUU